UACGUAGGGCGCAAGCGCUAUCCGGAAUUAUUGGGCGUAAAGAGCUCGUAGGCGGUUUGUCGCGUCUGCCGUGAAAGUCCGGGGCUCAACUCCGGAUCUGCGGUGGGUACGGGCAGACUAGAGUGAUGUAGGGGAGACUGGAAUUCCUGGUGUAGCGGUGGAAUGCGCAGAUAUCAGGAGGAACACCGAUGGCGAAGGCAGUUCUCUGGGCCGUAACUGACGCUGAGGAGCGAAAGCGUGGGGAGCGAACAGG
Molecule: ribosomal RNA, 253 nt
Filed under: uncultured bacterium
Lineage: Bacteria
Description: partial 16S ribosomal RNA
Rfam family: Bacterial small subunit ribosomal RNA
Source: RNAcentral